AGUGAACGCUGGCGGUAGGCCUAACACAUGCAAGUCGAACGGCAGCAUAGUAAGAGCUUGCUCUUACGGGUGGCGAGUGGCGGACGGGUGAGGAAUACACCGGAAUCUACUUUUUCGUGGGGGAUAACGUAGGGAAACUUACGCUAAUACCGCAUACGACCUACGGGUGAAAGCAGGGGAUCUUCGGACCUUGCGCGAUUGAAUGAGCCGAUGUCGGAUUAGCUAGUUGGCGGGGUAAAGGCCCACCAAGGCGACGAUCCGUAGCUGGUCUGAGAGGAUGAUCAGCCACACUGGAACUGAGACACGGUCCAGACUCCUACGGGAGGCAGCAGUGGGGAAUAUUGGACAAUGGGGGCGAGCCUGAUCCAGUCAUACCGCGUGAGUGAGGAAGGCCUUCGGGUUGUAAAGCCCUUUUGUUGGGAAAGAAAAGCAGCAGGUUAAUACCCCGCUGUUCUGACGGUACCCAAAGAAUAAGCACCGGCUAACUUCGUG
Molecule: ribosomal RNA, 492 nt
Filed under: uncultured bacterium
Lineage: Bacteria
Description: partial 16S ribosomal RNA
Rfam family: Bacterial small subunit ribosomal RNA
Source: RNAcentral